This 253-nucleotide ribosomal RNA is filed under the name uncultured bacterium. Its description in RNAcentral is "partial 16S ribosomal RNA". It matches the Rfam family "Bacterial small subunit ribosomal RNA", at positions 524 to 776 of the family's 1533-position model. The record is from RNAcentral.
UACGUAGGGGGCAAGCGUUGUCCGGAAUCAUUGGGCGUAAAGAGCGCGUAGGCGGCCAGAAAAGUCCGCUGUGAAAACUCGAGGCUCAACUUCGAGCUGUCGGUGGAAACUUUCUGGCUAGAGUCCGGAAGAGGAGAAUGGAAUUCCUGGUGUAGCGGUGAAAUGCGCAGAUAUCAGGAAGAACACCCGUGGCAAAGGCGGUUCUCUGGGACGGUACUGACGCUGAGACGCGAAAGCGUGGGGAGCGAACAGG